ACCAGACAGCGUGUCUGCCUGUCUGGUCACCCGGGCGAUCGUGCAGUGGCGCGACCCACCAGACGGGUCAUCUGAUCCCACGCGCGGCUGAACCACAAACCAGAGGAGGGGAUCGAAGGAAGGGGGCGACUUCCUUUCUCUCGCCCCUGAACAAAAAAAAAGAUCAAAGCCAGAACAGACAGACAGGGGAGACACCAGAUCGAACCAAGAAAAGAGAAAGGGGAGAGAUCGGAUCGAACGAAGAGGGAGGUGAGAAGAGGGUUUCAGGAGACUGGCGGCGGCGGCCUCUCCUCCCUGACGGCGCGCUUCACGGCGGGGAAGCUUGAAUCCUCGGGGCCCCUUCCUGCCGCCCCUGACCGCCGCUGCUCCUCUCCAACACGCUGCCGAUCUUCCCCAAGGAUCCUCUUCUGCUUCUCUUCUUAAAAGAUCACGCACAAGACCUCAAGCCUUUCACGCAGAAGAUCUUUUCUAGUUGUAAAUCUCUGAAACUCUGUACUGUUUUGCUUUGAUCUGCAUAUGAACCUGUGAAUCGUUGCAUGGACAUGGGUUAAUUGGUGAAAAAUUACUGUGAGAAUACUUAGUAUGCUACCCAGUGAUCUUGAUUUCCUGUAUGAGUAGUUAUGAGCGGCUGAAUCCUGUUUCACUUGC
RNAcentral lists this ribosomal RNA (648 nucleotides) under Triticum aestivum (bread wheat). RNAcentral's name for it is "partial small subunit ribosomal RNA". The record is from RNAcentral. Lineage: Eukaryota; Viridiplantae; Streptophyta; Magnoliopsida; Poales; Poaceae.